GCUGGGCAUAGUGGUGCACGCCUGUAAUCCCAGUUGCUCAGGAGGCUGAGGCAGGAGAAUUGCAAGUUCAAAGCCAGCCUCAACAAUUUAGUAAGGUCCUAAGCAACUUUGUGAGACUCUGUCUCAA
Molecule: small RNA, 127 nt
Filed under: Marmota monax (woodchuck)
Lineage: Eukaryota; Metazoa; Chordata; Mammalia; Rodentia; Sciuridae
Source: RNAcentral